AUUUAAGUAGUUUAAGUUAAAAUAUUAAUUUGUGGUAUUAAAGAUGCUUUUAAAAUAGCCUUAAAUU
This 67-nucleotide transfer RNA is filed under the name Pseudophyllus titan. RNAcentral's name for it is "tRNA-His". Lineage: Eukaryota; Metazoa; Arthropoda; Insecta; Orthoptera; Tettigoniidae. The record is from RNAcentral.